RNAcentral lists this ribosomal RNA (375 nucleotides) under uncultured Pelotomaculum sp. RNAcentral's name for it is "bacterial SSU rRNA". It matches the Rfam family "Bacterial small subunit ribosomal RNA", at positions 1002 to 1382 of the family's 1533-position model. The record is from RNAcentral. Lineage: Bacteria; Bacillati; Bacillota; Clostridia; Eubacteriales; Desulfotomaculaceae.
GGAGACAGAGCGGAGGUAUCCGGGGAGACAGGUGGUGCAUGGUUGUCGUCAGCUCGUGUCGUGAGAUGUUGGGUUAAGUCCCGCAACGAGCGCAACCCCUACGUUUAGUUGCUAACGCGUGAAGGCGAGCACUCUAGACGAACUGCCGUUGACAAAACGGAGGAAGUGGGGAUGACGUCAAAUCAUCAUGCCCCUUAUGUUCUGGGCUACACACGUGCUACAAUGGCCGGUACAGACGGACGCAAAGCCGCGAGGUGGAGCAAAUCCUAAAAAGCCGGUCUCAGUUCGGAUUGCAGGCUGCAAUUCGCCUGCAUGAAGUCGGAAUCGCUAGUAAUCGCAGGUCAGCAUACUGCGGUGAAUACGUUCCCGGGCCUU